GAUGUUCGCGCAGCAGUAAACUGGGCUUGUACCCAGAAACUUUAAGCACGGGCCACGGUACCCACCUGGUAGAAUACCAGGUCAAAAGCUGAGGUAAGACGGCGUUGCGGGGAGCCA
This 117-nucleotide small RNA is filed under the name Microcoleus sp. Co-bin12. RNAcentral's name for it is "partial 6S RNA". It matches the Rfam family "6S / SsrS RNA", at positions 67 to 187 of the family's 187-position model. Rfam says of the family: E. coli 6S RNA was the first non coding RNA to be sequenced, but its function was unknown until recently. The record is from RNAcentral. Lineage: Bacteria; Bacillati; Cyanobacteriota; Cyanophyceae; Oscillatoriales; Microcoleaceae.